RNAcentral lists this small RNA (948 nucleotides) under Drosophila pseudoobscura pseudoobscura. Its description in RNAcentral is "GA32529". The record is from RNAcentral. Lineage: Eukaryota; Metazoa; Arthropoda; Insecta; Diptera; Drosophilidae.
AGGUUUAAGCAUAAAAGUGUUUUUUUUUUUUUAGUUUUUAAAGUUAAGCAUAAAGUGAAUAAGGUCACUAACCAUACUGUAUACUGUAUGGUUAGUGAUAAGAUACAACAUAAUAAUACUUCUCCAAGAUACACAAGGCAUAAAAAUACUUCUCCAAGAUACACAUCUAUUGAUUGUUCAACAAGAGUCGCACGCAGAGAGUUCACAUCAUACAUACCUGGCAAAAAAAAAACUACAAAUCAUACGGCUGUAAACUGUGGCGGGUCAAUAAGGUACAACACGGCUUCUUCGGAUAGUUUUUCUACACAAACCUACAUAAAUACGGGCACUCUACGUCCAUAUUCAUAAAUACUUGGCAAAAUACCUGUGGUGGCACAAUCGGGUACAACACGGCUUCUUCGGAUAGUUUUUUUACACACCCCUACAUAAAUACGGGAAUGGAUCUCAGGGCUCCGAGAAGACUCGCAAGUAGAACCAAUACUUUGUUCUGAUACUGAUUCGGCUAUCGGAAAAUAUAGACUGUGUUCAUCGGGUAAAACAUAAUAAUACUUCUCCAAGAUACACAAGGCAUAAAAAUACUUCUCCAAGAUACACAUCUAUUGAUUGUUCAACAAGAGUCGCACGCGGAGAGUUCACAUCAUACAUACCUGGCAGAAAAAAAAAAAUACAAAUCGUACGGCUGUAAACUGUGGCGGGCAAAUGAGGUACAACACGGCUUCUUCGGAUAGUUUUUCUACACACCCUACAUAAAUACGGGCAAUCUGAGGGAUCUGAGGGCUCCGAGAAGACUCGCAAGUAGAACCACUACUUUGUUCUGACACUUAUUCGGCAAUCGGAAAAUAUAGACUGUGUUCAUCGGGUACAAGAUCUGAUGUGUGACUGGAUAAAAAUAUCAUAUUUUGUUACUAAUAAUUAUAUUACUCGUGAUUAUAUUUUGAUACUAAAGUA